UACGAAGGGGGCUAGCGUUGCUCGGAAUUACUGGGCGUAAAGCGCACGUAGGCGGCUUACUAAGUCAGGGGUGAAAUCCUGGAGCUCAACUCCAGAACUGCCUUUGAUACUGGUGAGCUUGAGUCCGGGAGAGGUGAGUGGAACUGCGAGUGUAGAGGUGAAAUUCGUAGAUAUUCGCAAGAACACCAGUGGCGAAGGCGGCUCACUGGCCCGGUACUGACGCUGAGGAGCGAAAGCGUGGGGAGCGAACAGG
Molecule: ribosomal RNA, 253 nt
Filed under: uncultured bacterium
Lineage: Bacteria
Description: partial 16S ribosomal RNA
Rfam family: Bacterial small subunit ribosomal RNA
Source: RNAcentral